AAUCACUCAACUGCACAUGUAUUAAAAUUGGAAUGAUACAGAGAAGAUUAGCAUGGCCCCUGCACAAAGAUGACACACAGAUUCGUGAAGCGUUCCAUUUUUUU
Molecule: small nuclear RNA, 104 nt
Organism: Tachyglossus aculeatus (Australian echidna)
Lineage: Eukaryota; Metazoa; Chordata; Mammalia; Monotremata; Tachyglossidae
Source: RefSeq, a predicted model, not a curated record